This 494-nucleotide ribosomal RNA is filed under the name uncultured bacterium. Its description in RNAcentral is "partial 16S ribosomal RNA". It matches the Rfam family "Bacterial small subunit ribosomal RNA", at positions 28 to 507 of the family's 1533-position model. The record is from RNAcentral.
GACGAACGCUGGCGGCGUGCUUAACACAUGCAAGUCGAACGGAAAGGCCUGCUUUCCCUUGUGGAUUGCGGGUACUCGAGUGGCGAACGGGUGAGUAACACGUGAGUGAUCUGCCCCCAACUUGGGUAUAAGCCUGGGAAACUGGGUCUAAUUCCCGAUAGGACUGCAGGGUGGUGCCUGUGGUGGAAAACGAUUUUCUAGUGGUUGGGGAUGAGCUCGCGGCCUAUCAGGUUGUUGGUGGGGUAAUGGCCUACCAAGGCGGCGACGGGUAGCCGGCCUGGGAGGGUGGGCGGCCACAGUGGACCGGCGAUACGGCCCAGACUACUACGGGAGGCAGCCGGGGGGAAUAUGGAACGGGGGGCGGAGGCCUGAUGCCGCGACGCCGAGUGGGGGAUGACGGCCGUCGGGUGGUAAACUCCUUUCGGCCGCGAGGAAGCCACCUGGUUGGAAGGGUGGUGACGGUAGUGGGAGAAGAAGCACCGGCUAACUACGUG